AUUGGGCUGGCGCAAAAGUAAUUGCAGUUUUUGCCAUGACUUUCAACGCAAAAAUCACAAUUGCUUUUGCACCAACCUAUAGUU
Molecule: microRNA precursor, 84 nt
Filed under: Chlorocebus sabaeus (green monkey)
Lineage: Eukaryota; Metazoa; Chordata; Mammalia; Primates; Cercopithecidae
Description: miRNA (ENSCSAG00000020967.1)
Source: RNAcentral